Molecule: ribosomal RNA, 253 nt
Filed under: uncultured bacterium
Lineage: Bacteria
Description: partial 16S ribosomal RNA
Rfam family: Bacterial small subunit ribosomal RNA
Source: RNAcentral
UACAGAGGUCUCAAGCGUUGUUCGGAUUCAUUGGGCGUAAAGGGUGCGUAGGCGGCGCGGUAAGUCGGGUGUGAAAUCUCGGAGCUUAACUCCGAAACUGCAUUCGAUACUGCCGUGCUUGAGGACUUGAGAGGAGACUGGAAUUUACGGUGUAGCGGUGAAAUGCGUAGAUAUCGUAAGGAAGACCAGUGGCGAAGGCGGGUCUCUGGACAGUUCCUGACGCUGAGGCACGAAGGCCAGGGGAGCAAACGGG